UACGUAGGUGGCCAGCGUUGUCCGGAUUUACUGGGCGUAAAGAGCGCGCAGGCGGUCGUUCAAGUCGCGUGUGAAAGCCCCCGGCUCAACUGGGGAGGGUCACGCGAUACUGAUCGACUCGAAGGCAGGAGAGGGUAGUGGAAUUCCCGGUGUAGUGGUGAAAUGCGUAGAUAUCGGGAGGAACACCAGUGGCGAAGGCGACUACCUGGCCUGUUCUUGACGCUGAGGCGCGAAAGCUAGGGGAGCAAACGGG
RNAcentral lists this ribosomal RNA (253 nucleotides) under uncultured bacterium. RNAcentral describes it as "partial 16S ribosomal RNA". It matches the Rfam family "Bacterial small subunit ribosomal RNA", at positions 524 to 776 of the family's 1533-position model. The record is from RNAcentral.